This 465-nucleotide ribosomal RNA is filed under the name uncultured bacterium. Its description in RNAcentral is "partial 16S ribosomal RNA". It matches the Rfam family "Bacterial small subunit ribosomal RNA", at positions 28 to 507 of the family's 1533-position model. The record is from RNAcentral.
GACGAACGCUGGCGGCGUGCUUAACACAUGCAAGUCGAACGGUGAACCCCGCUUGCGGGGGGAUCAGUGGCGAACGGGUGAGGAAGACGAGGGCAACCUGCCCUCAGCUCUGGGACAACUCUAAGAACGUGGGGCUGAUACCGGAACUGAAUAAUAACUGGAUGGGCAGGGGGUGGAAAGAUUUGUCGGCCGGGGUUGGACUUGAGGCUGAUUCGCUUGUUGGUGGGGUAGUGGGCUACGAAGGGGACGACGGGUAGACGGCCCGGGAGGGGGGCCGGCCACACGGGGCCUGAGACACGGCCCAGACUCCUACGGGAGGCAGCAGUGGGGAGUCUUGCGCAAUGGGCGAAAGCCUGACGCAGCGGCGCCGCGUGGGUGAUGACGGCCUUCGGGGUGUAAACCUCUUUCAGCAGGGACGAAGCGAAAGUGACGGUACCUGCAGAAGAAGCACCGGCCAACUACGUG